AUUUGACCUCAAUGCAGGUAGGAACUA
RNAcentral lists this ribosomal RNA (27 nucleotides) under Tricholoma terreum. RNAcentral describes it as "partial 28S ribosomal RNA". The record is from RNAcentral. Lineage: Eukaryota; Fungi; Basidiomycota; Agaricomycetes; Agaricales; Tricholomataceae.